This 529-nucleotide ribosomal RNA is filed under the name uncultured bacterium. RNAcentral's name for it is "bacterial SSU rRNA". It matches the Rfam family "Bacterial small subunit ribosomal RNA", at positions 979 to 1509 of the family's 1533-position model. The record is from RNAcentral.
CCUUGACAUACUAAGAACUUUCCAGAGAUGGAUUGGUGCCUUCGGGAACUUAGAUACAGGUGCUGCAUGGCUGUCGUCAGCUCGUGUCGUGAGAUGUUGGGUUAAGUCCCGNAACGAGCGCAACCCUUUUCCUAUUUGCCAGCGGGUCAUGCCGGGAACUUUAAGGAUACUGCCAGUGACAAACUGGAGGAAGGCGGGACGACGUCAAGUCAUCAUGGCCCUUACGGCCAGGGCUACACACGUGCUACAAUGGUCGGUACAAAGGGUUGCUACCUCGCGAGAGGAUGCUAAUCUCAAAAAGCCGAUCGUAGUCCGGAUCGCAGUCUGCAACUCGACUGCGUGAAGUCGGAAUCGCUAGUAAUCGCGGAUCAGAAUGCCGCGGUGAAUACGUUCCCGGGCCUUGUACACACCGCCCGUCACACCAUGGGAGUUUGUUGCACCAGAAGUAGGUAGUCUAACCGCAAGGAGGACGCUUACCACGGUGUGGCCGAUGACUGGGGUGAAGUCGUAACAAGGUAAGCGUAGAUGA